CCCUUAGAUGUUCUGGGCCGCACGCGUGCUACACUGAACGGUUCAAUGGGUGAGGUAGGGCGAAAGCCUGACCCAAUCUCUAAAUCCGUUCGUGAUGGGGAUAGAAGCUUGCAAUUAUCCUUCUUGAACGAGGAAUACCUUGUAAGCGUGAGUCAUCAUCUCACGCUGAAUACGUCCCUGCCCUUUGUACACACCGCCCGUCGCUCCUACCGAUUGAGUGGUCCGGUGAGGCUUUGGGAGAGCCGGAUGGACUGUGUUUCACAGACUAUUUGGCUUGAACUUAGUCAAACCUUACUACUUAGAGGAAGGAGAAGUCGUAACA
Molecule: ribosomal RNA, 322 nt
Filed under: uncultured eukaryote
Lineage: Eukaryota
Description: partial 18S ribosomal RNA
Rfam family: Eukaryotic small subunit ribosomal RNA
Source: RNAcentral